AGGCGAUGAAAGACGUGAUACUCUGCGAUAAGCCAUGGGGAGCUGAGAAUAAGCUUUGAUCCAUGGAUUUCUGAAUGGGGGAACCCACCUGACAGUUUUCUAUAAUUGCUUCGGCAAUUUAUAGGCGGCUGAACCAGGUAUUUAUAGACUGAAUACAUAGGUUUAUAAAAGCAAACCCGGGGAACUGAAACAUCUAAGUACCCGGAGGAAAGGAAAUCAAUUGAUACUCCCCUAGUAGCGGCGAGCGAACGGGGACCAGCCGAGCCUUGAGAGUGAAUUGAAUGGUCUGGAAAGGCCAACCAUAGUGGGUGACAGUCCCGUAAAUGAAGCUCAAUAGGACGUAUUAAGUAGGGCGGAACACGUGAAAUUCUGUCUGAAGAUCGGAGGACCACCUUCGAAGGCUAAGUACUCCUUACUGACCGAUAGUGAACCAGUACCGUGAGGGAAAGGUGAAAAGCACCCCGACGAGGGGAGUGAAACAGUUUCUGAAACCGGACGCCUACAAUCAGUCGGAGGCUCCUUGAGAGCUGACGGCGUACCUUUUGUAUAAUGGGUCAUCGACUUGGUCUAUCUAGCAAGCUUAAGCCGUUAGGUGUAGGCGCAGCGAAAGCGAGUCUUAAUAGGGCGAAUGAGUUAGAUGGAUCAGACCCGAAACCGAGUGAUCUAGGCAUGACCAGGAUGAAGGUAAGGUAACACUUACUGGAGGUCCGAACCCACACCUGUUGAAAAAGGUCGGGAUGAGUUGUGCCUAGGGGUGAAAGGCCAAUCAAACUCGGAGAUAGCUGGUUCUCCGCGAAAUCUAUUUAGGUAGAGCGUCAUCCGAAUACCCCGGGGGGUAGAGCACUGGAUGGGUAAUGGGGCCCCACAGGCUUACUGAUCCUAACCAAACUCCGAAUACCCGGGAGUACUAGAUGGCAGACACACUGCGGAUGCUAACGUCCGUAGUGAAGAGGGAAACAACCCUGACCUCCAGCUAAGGCCCCUAAUUCAUGGCUAAGUGGGAAAGCAGGUGAGACGGCCAAAACAACCAGGAGGUUGGCUUAGAAGCAGCCAUCCUUUAAAGAUAGCGUAACAGCUCACUGGUCUAAAUAAGCUGUCUUGCGGCGAAGAUGUAACGGGGCUCAAGCCAUGAGCCGAAGCUGAGGAUGCACAUAGUGCAUGGYAGCGGAGCGUAGUGUGACAUAGUUCCAUGCGUUUUAGCUUUAUGGAAGCCCGCGGCGCUCAAGUAGCGAAGCGGUAGCGCAUAAAGUGAUGAACGCAAGGAGCUUUCAGUGAAGCGGGCGCGUGAGCGAUCCCGUGGAGAGAUCACUAGUGAGAAUGAUGACAUGAGUAGCGACAAACAGGGUGAGAGACCCUGUCGCCGAAAGUCCAAGGGUUCCUGCUUAAAGCUAAUCUGAGCAGGGUAAGCCGGCCCCUAAGUCGAGGCAGAAAUGCGUAGACGAUGGGAACCACGUUAAUAUUCGUGGGCCAGGAGGAUGUGACGGAUCAUGAAGGUUGUUCACUCUUAUUGGAUUGAGUGGGCCGCUAAUUGGUUCCUGGAAAUAGCCCUCCAUCAGACCGUACCCUAAACCAACACAGGUGGACUGGUAGAGAAUACCAAGGCGCUUGAGAGAACUAUCUUGAAGGAACUCGGCAAAAUACCUCCGUAAGUUCGCGAGAAGGAGGCCCAGUGUUUACGCAAGUAGAUACUGGGGGCACAAACUAGGGGGUGGCGACUGUUUACUAAAAACACAGGGCUCUGCGAAGUCGUAAGACGACGUAUAGGGUCUGACGCCUGCCCGGUGCCUGAAGGUUAAAAGGAGGGGUGAGAGCUCUGAAUUGAAGCCCAGGUAAACGGCGGCCGUAACUAUAACGGUCCUAAGGUAGCGAAAUUCCUUGUCGGGUAAGUUCCGACCUGCACGAAUGGCGUAACGACUUCCCCGCUGUCUCCAAGAUAGACUCAGCGAAAUUGAAUUGCCUGUCAAGAUGCAGGCUUCCCGCGGUUAGACGGAAAGACCCCGUGCACCUUUACUACAGCUUCACAUUGGCAUUAGGCCGAGCAUGUGCAGGAUAGGUGGUGGGCUUUGAAGCGUGAACGCCAGUUUGCGUGGAGCCUCCCUUGAGAUACCACCCUUGCUCUGCUUGAUGUCUAACCGCGGUCCAUUAUCUGGAUCCGGGACCCUGUGUGGCGGGUAGUUUGACUGGGGCGGUCGCCUCCUAAAGCGUAACGGAGGCGCGCGAAGGUUGGCUCAGAGCGGUCGGAAAUCGCUCGUUGAGUGCAAUGGCAGAAGCCAGCCUGACUGCAAGACUGACAAGUCGAGCAGAGUCGAAAGACGGCCAUAGUGAUCCGGUGGUCCCGAGUGGAAGGGCCAUCGCUCAACGGAUAAAAGGUACGCCGGGGAUAACAGGCUGAUACUGCCCAAGAGUCCAUAUCGACGGCAGUGUUUGGCACCUCGAUGUCGGCUCAUCUCAUCCUGGGGCUGGAGCAGGUCCCAAGGGUACGGCUGUUCGCCGUUUAAAGAGGUACGUGAGCUGGGUUUAGAACGUCGUGAGACAGUUCGGUCCCUAUCUGCCGUGGGUGUAGGAUACUUGAGAGGAGUUGCCCCUAGUACGAGAGGACCGGGGUGAACGAUCCACUGGUGUACCAGUUGUUCCGCCAGGAGCAGUGCUGGGUAGCUAUGAUCGGACAGGAUAACCGCUGAAGGCAUCUAAG
Molecule: ribosomal RNA, 2692 nt
Filed under: Roseobacter sp. KT0202a
Lineage: Bacteria; Pseudomonadati; Pseudomonadota; Alphaproteobacteria; Rhodobacterales; Roseobacteraceae
Description: bacterial LSU rRNA
Rfam family: Bacterial large subunit ribosomal RNA
Source: RNAcentral